This 1528-nucleotide long non-coding RNA is filed under the name Heterocephalus glaber (naked mole-rat). Its description in RNAcentral is "lncRNA (ENSHGLG00000045020.1)". Lineage: Eukaryota; Metazoa; Chordata; Mammalia; Rodentia; Bathyergidae. The record is from RNAcentral.
CCAGGGAUUUAGCUCAAUGGUUUCGCCGCCUGCUGUGCAAGCGCAAGGACCCGAGUUUGAUACCCCCGUACCAAAAAAAAGAAAUUUCCUCAGGCUGGUUGUGGUGGUACAUGCCUGUAAUCCCAGCACUGAGGAGGCUAAGGCAGAAGGAUCACAAGUUCAAGGCCAGCCUGGGUAAUUUAGCAAGACCCUAUCUCAAGAAACCUAAAACCAAAAAACAAAAUAUCCCAUCUCCUUCAUUUUUGAAGAAUGCCUUGACAUUAAAAAUAAGGAAAAAAGGAAGGCAAGAAGACAAUUCAAUGGAAAAUGGGCAAAGUAUAUAAAGAGGUGAUUUAUAAAAGAAAUUCAAAUGAUCAACAAGUGUACAAAAAGAUGUUCAUUCAUACUAAUAGUCAGGGGAUUUUGAAUUAAAAUAAUAUAUUAUAUAUUCAGAUUGCAAAUGUUUUAAGAUUGGAAAUAUUCACCAUUAGAAAGGGUUUGAGGAGUAGGGUACUUUUUUUUUGAGUUUGACAAAAUUUAUUGGUUAUUUUAGUAAAGACAUUCAUCUCAGUCGUUUCUCUCCUCAUCUUGACCUUAGCUUAGUAUUUCAUUUGGGUCAAGAAAAGAGUAUGUAGGAGAGGGAUGUUAUUUUAACAAACAGUAAAAUGGACAAAAAUGAACAGUUUGCCUACAUAAAAGUAAAGUUAAAGUUAAAUUCAUAUAUCUUGGUAUAAUUAAAUCAUUUAAGAACUAAUAGUUCUAUAUACAGUUCCAUUGUUUUACUUGGGGCUUAAUCUAAACUUUAAUGUAAAAGAACAACUUAUUAGGCAUAUGCUCAGGUUUCUUCUCUGGAGUUACUAUGAAAAAGAUCAGCAAGUAACUACCACCAAUAAAAUAGUCUGAAGCUGCCUCCAAAUUUAACAUUGUAGGCAUUCUGAAGGAAAUCACUGUAUCAUUUUUCUUUUGUCUGUGACUAUGCUUUCAAAGAUGUGUUUAACUGUCACUUUAAAAAAGUCCAUAUACAAUACAAAAAUACAAAACAAAACACCCUACAGUACACAAAUCUAACAGUAUAUGUGAUGAACAAUUCUAUAAAAUGUGUUUGAAAAUGCAUUUUCUUUCAUUUUCAGUACCCACAAUAUGGCCAGGCCACUGGGCAGUAUAUAUACACUUAAAAUAAACCAUAUAAUUGUUCUAAUAAGAAAUCCUGUAGCGAGUUCAACUCAAAUUGGAUUUAACAACUUAGUAAUGUAAAUGUGUAGACAAAGUUACAGAAAAUGCAUCUUACUGUUUUCCAUCUUCUACAAUGUUAUUUUUUUUUUUUUGGUGUUUAUACCUUUUAAAACAUAAAAACCAGCCAAAUACUUAAUCAGUAUGUACAUUUAAAUUUUUGGUGGUGGUUUUUAUUUUAAAAGAAACAGCUUCCUUAUGAUUUGCCUCAAGUUCUGGUGGAAAUGCUUACAAGAAUUAGCUAGUAAACACACAAAAACCAAGACAAGCACAUUCAAAAUACUGAUUUACUUUGGUAGCAAAUGGCUGUUCUUUGAAG